GUGAGGAGAAGACCCGGUUGAAACUGGUGACAGAGGCAUCCUGGGCCGA
Molecule: small nucleolar RNA, 49 nt
Filed under: Pyrobaculum oguniense TE7
Lineage: Archaea; Thermoproteati; Thermoproteota; Thermoprotei; Thermoproteales; Thermoproteaceae
Description: POGsR101
Source: RNAcentral